Molecule: ribosomal RNA, 253 nt
Filed under: uncultured bacterium
Lineage: Bacteria
Description: partial 16S ribosomal RNA
Rfam family: Bacterial small subunit ribosomal RNA
Source: RNAcentral
UACGUAGGGCGCAAGCGUUGUCCGGAUUCACUGGGUGUAAAGGGCUCGUAGGCGGCCAACUAAGUCAGACGUGAAAUCCCUCGGCUUAACCGGGGAACUGCGUCUGAUACUGGAUGGCUUGAGUUUGGGAGAGGGAUGCGGAAUUCCAGGUGUAGCGGUGAAAUGCGUAGAUAUCUGGAGGAACACCGGUGGCGAAGGCGGCAUCCUGGACCAACACUGACGCUGAGGAGCGAAAGCCAGAGGAGCAAACGGG